RNAcentral lists this ribosomal RNA (165 nucleotides) under uncultured bacterium. Its description in RNAcentral is "partial 16S rRNA". It matches the Rfam family "Bacterial small subunit ribosomal RNA", at positions 355 to 512 of the family's 1533-position model. The record is from RNAcentral.
UAGGGAAUCUUCCACAAUGGGCGAAAGCCUGAUGGAGCAACGCCGCGUGUGUGAUGAAGGGUUUCGGCUCGUAAAACACUGUUGUAAGAGAAGAAUGACAUUGAGAGUAACUGUUCAAUGUGUGACGGUAUCUUGCCAGAAAGGAACGGCUAAAUACGUGCUAGC